Molecule: ribosomal RNA, 477 nt
Filed under: uncultured bacterium
Lineage: Bacteria
Description: bacterial SSU rRNA
Rfam family: Bacterial small subunit ribosomal RNA
Source: RNAcentral
GAUGAACGCUAGCGGCAGGCCUAACACAUGCAAGUCGAGGGGCAGCACAGGUAGCAAUACUGGGUGGCGACCGGCGGAUGGGUGCGUAACGCGUAUGCAACCUACCAUUGAUUGGGGCAUAGCCCGAAGAAAUUCGGAUUAAUACUCCAUAAUAUUCAUCAAAGGCAUCUUUUAUGAAUUAAAGCUUUUGCGAUCAAUGAUGGGCAUGCGUGACAUUAGUUAGUUGGUGAGGUAACGGCUCACCAAAACGAUGAUGUCUAGGGGUUCUGAGAGGAUUAUCCCCCACACUGGUACUGAGACACGGACCAGACUCCUACGGGAGGCAGCAGUCGAGAAUAGUCUACAAUGGACGAAAGUCUGAUAGUGCGACGCCGCGUGAACGAAGAAGCCCUUGGGGUGUAAAGUUCUUUUAUAUGUGAGCAAUGCUUCCUAGGUGAAUAGUUUAGGGAGAGAGAUAUUAGCAUAUGAAUAAGCAAC